This 46-nucleotide non-coding RNA is filed under the name Schistosoma curassoni. The record is from RNAcentral. Lineage: Eukaryota; Metazoa; Platyhelminthes; Trematoda; Strigeidida; Schistosomatidae.
AUCCAGAUGACGAAUCGAAAAUAGGAUGAAACCUGCGUCCUAGGAU